This 410-nucleotide long non-coding RNA is filed under the name Rattus norvegicus (Norway rat). RNAcentral's name for it is "long non-coding RNA NONRATT028479". Lineage: Eukaryota; Metazoa; Chordata; Mammalia; Rodentia; Muridae. The record is from RNAcentral.
UGACAAGCCGCUGCUGGUGGCGGUGUUCGCCGGUCCUGGGUCUAUGGCGCCACCCCAGAGAUGUCCUCUGUGUCGGCAGACUUUCUUCUGUGGUCGCGGGCACGUUUACAGCCACAAGCACCAGCGGCAGUUGAAGGGGGCUCUGGAGCGGUUUCUACCGCAGGUGGAGGCCGCCCGCAGGGCCGUCCGCGCCGCCCAGGUGGAGUGCUAUGUCCCGGAGCACGACCGGUGCUGUUGGUGCCCGUGUUGUGGCUGCGAAGUGCGAAAACACCUGAGCCAUGGAAACCUGACAGUGCUACACGGGGGUCUGCUGGAACAUCUGGCCAGGUGACAGCUGGGUAACACCCACCUCUCCUGUACACACACUGAGUUGUACUUGUGACUUAAUUGGGGUAUGGAUUGAAUUACCU